ACCUUGAAAACGUCUUAGAAAACCCGAGUGCCAGCACAGGCUGGCUGUCCACCAGUGUAAAUAACUGGUGAAGAAAGGGCCGGGCAAGACCGGUGCCAGCCGCCGCGGUAAUACCGGCGGCUCGAGUGGUGGCCGCUAUUACUGGGCUUAAAGGGUCCGUAGCUGGAUAUACAAGUCCCUUGAGAAAUCCGCCGGCUUAACCGGUGGGCGUUCAGGGGAAACUGUAUUUCUAGGGACCGGGAGAGGUGAGAGGUACUGCCGGGGUAGGAGUGAAAUCCUGUAAUCCCGGUGGGACCACCUAUGGCGAAGGCAUCUCACCAGAACGGGUCCGACAGUGAGGGACGAAAGCUGGGGGAGCAAACCGGAUUAGAUACCCGGGUAGUCCCAGCUGUAAACGAUGCGCGUUAGGUGUGUCAGUGACCACGUGUCACUGAGGUGCCGAAGGGAAACCGUGAAACGCGCCGCCUGGGGAGUACGGUCGCAAGGCUGAAACUUAAAGGAAUUGGCG
RNAcentral lists this ribosomal RNA (508 nucleotides) under uncultured prokaryote. RNAcentral's name for it is "bacterial SSU rRNA". It matches the Rfam family "Archaeal small subunit ribosomal RNA", at positions 356 to 870 of the family's 1478-position model. The record is from RNAcentral.